Molecule: long non-coding RNA, 1643 nt
Organism: Xiphophorus maculatus (southern platyfish)
Lineage: Eukaryota; Metazoa; Chordata; Actinopteri; Cyprinodontiformes; Poeciliidae
Exons: 3
Source: RefSeq, a predicted model, not a curated record
UAAAAAGAUGCUUUACUGGAAACUGCAGAGAAACUUCAGCUUCCAUCAGAGAAACCAGUUUAACCAGUUUAGAACUAUUAGAUAGAACUGGAUCUAUCUAAUAGUCAUUCUAAAUAUAUUUAAGUAAUUAAGUUUUGUAUAGUUAUUAUAGUAACUACUUUAUUUUAUUCCUCCAUGCUAUUUAGCUUAUUGUACUCAUAUAUUUUAAGUUUGUAUCUUUUGUUUGACAGUUUCUUUUAAUAAAAUCAAAAACAUCCAUUUCAGUUGAUCUGAUAAUUUUGUAAGCUUCUAAUUUAAGGCAACAGCUUAUUUUUGCAUUAUUUAGACUGAAGUUGCUUAAAUAAAAUACAUGACAAUCAUUUAAUUAAUCGAUAUUGUUUUUCCUCCAAGUUUCUUAGUUAAGCUGCUUCAAACUAUAACAGUAGUUAUUUUACUUCCCUGUGUUUUAUUUUGAAAGAUCGCACAGGAAACGUAUUUGUAAUUUUUCCAACUUUAUUGUAGUUGCAAUCAUAGACAUAAUAUAAGGGUAGACGCCGCAUUGGCCUCUCCGGCGCAGGAAAUACGGCGGCCAUCUUAGAGCGGUAUACCCUCGUACUUUGCUGAACCAAAACAACAGAAGAUGCCUCAGUUCUGCUCGGCUUAUUCGUGUUUAAAUCUACGAACUGUUGAUGUCAGGGACCGGGGGAUAACUUUUCAGAAGUAAGAAUGACAUAUUAUUGUUAGUAUGUUGUGAAUGUAAUAUUACUGUACUGUAUUUAUGCCCACCAGCGAAAUGACAGCAAAUGUUAGCUAUCGGUCUUCAGCCGGAGAUUUGAUGACAGGAAUAUGUUUCAAACAGGCCUACUCACAAUUUCAGUAGCUUUGUUUAAUUAUCAUUAUCAACAAAUUUUAAUCAAAUUUGGAGUUUUAUGUUCUUUAAAAUAUGAAGGUCAAAAAUAGUGAGUGUAACGUUUUUCUGAAUGCUCAGCUUAAGCAGGUAACAAGGCUCCUUAGUUUCAACCGUUGCAAAUAACAUGGACCUCAUUCGGACAAUGUUUUUGUGUACACACUCCCAGAUAUCACGUUUUUGUUUUAAAGGUUUCCAAAAGAUAAAGAGAGGAGGAAGAGGUGGGAAAUAGCUUUGAGGAGGGAUGGAUUCACUGCAAGUGAUUCAUCUGUACUAUGCAGUGAGCAUUUCAAAACGGAGGAUUUUGACAAAACAGGUCAGAUUGUCAGACUGAGAGCUGAUGUGAUACCAUCAAUUUUCAGCUUCCCAGUUCACCUUCAAAGAGUUGAAAACUACAGAACUACAAUAACCUCCACAAAAGCCCAAAGUAGUGAGUAUGUGGCCUCUCAAGAUGACCCAGAAACUUGUAGUUCAGACCUGCAACCUCAGUCUAAUGAUGAUCAUUGCUAUGCUUUGCCAGCUUCUCUUACCGCUGUCACUGCAAAACAUAAGAGAGCGUUGGCAAGAGUGGAAUAUCUGGAGCGGGACAAGAAAAACACCAUGGCCAGAGAGAAGAGGGCAAAGACCACAGCAAAGUCACUUUUGGGGGAAUUGAGUGAAAAAAAUCUCAUUACUGAAGAACUCAAAGAACGGCUUGAAUUCUACUCUGCAUUUGUGCAUUAUAUGUAUGUAUAUAUAUAUAUAUAUAUAUAUAUAU